Anas platyrhynchos (mallard) is the source of this 2150-nucleotide long non-coding RNA. RefSeq lists it as uncharacterized. NCBI's taxonomy places the organism in Eukaryota, Metazoa, Chordata, Aves, Anseriformes, Anatidae. The record is from RefSeq and is a predicted model, not a curated record.
GGAUAUCUGUGCUGAUAAUGUUAACGACCUCCAGCCAGGUCACAAUCAAGUAAUUCACACAUGCCCAUGGAGAAAUGGGGGGCUAAAAAAGGAUGUCUAACCCCCAGUGUUUGAGCACUGGUGACUCUUAGUACUGUGGCAAAUUAGAAAGCCUGAUUUCUACUCGUGCUAUUUCCACAAUAUCACAGCUUAUUUUUUCUGCAUAGCAGAGCAACCUGGGAUUGGAGUCUUCCAAGGAUGAAGAAAUGUCUUAAAUUUUAUUGCUAGACUGAGAAAGUAGUCCCAAGAAGCAAAAGCCCAGUUAGGGUCCACCUGUGAGUUUCAGAUCUCAGGAUCCAGCCUGUGCCAUUAAGAGGGUGUGAUUUCAACCAGGAAAUGCGAUGUCAGUCAUUCCCAAAGAAAUCUGCCGGGAGUCCUCCGCACCCCGUCAUCAAUUCCAGAGACAGCACCCAGCCUUGGGCAUCAAUCCACUCCUCAAAAACCACGUUGAGCUCCCAAGGAGGGAACUGGAGAGCGAUGGAAAUCUGCCUGUCCAGAGGUCACAGAAGGCACUGCGACAGUUCAGGAGGAUUUGUGAUUUAAUUAAUUGUUACUGAUGAGAUGGGUGAAUUUUGAGAGUGUGGUAACUGAGAUUUGGAUGACUGUGGUUACACCAGAUUGAAGGAAGGGCUUGAGCAUACUACCUGCACCCAGGACAUGGGGUCUGUACGUGAGCAGUGACAGCAGCAUGUGUGCAGCAGCCAGCUGGAGCACCUGAGGACCAUAAAACCGGGGAACAAAUGCCGAUACUUCAUUCAGCUGGCAAACCAAAGGAGAGUCAUUUAACUCCCUUUCUAGAGCCUAGUUGCUUUGUUACUCUGUAAAAAGCUUCAAGAUGAAUUAUUAAUCCCAGCUCAUAUUGACAACAAGCACAUAAUUUCAUUUCCUGCUCUGUGACAGAGUUCAAAACCAAGCACAUCUCAAUUUCUCCUAAGAAAUUCGAAUUAAUGGUUCUUGAAUGGCUCUUGUGAGACAAACACUUCCUGAUGCUUUAGCAGAGCUUGGAUAUUAGUUUGGGCUUUGGAGCUGGCCUCACCUCUACAGGGGGACAAUCCACUGUCCCAAACCUUGCCAUGUGCAGGGACUGUCCAGCUCUGCAUCUUGAAUUACCAUUUUGUGAUUUGUCAAAUUCUUCCUUAGCAAAAACACCAAGUAGUCAUUGUGCAGUUCACGUCAGCAGAGGAGGUGCAAUAGUUUUGGACAGCCCAAAGGAUCACAGAUCACAGUGAGGAAGGGAAUUUCUGCAGCAGUCAUGAAGUAAACUGGCUACCAGUUACUGCCAUGGUGGUGAAGGCCUUCAGCUGGUGUAGAGAACCAGAGGAAUUUAUUUUUCAUUGUAGAUCAAUAAAAGCUUGAUACUCCCUCCUGUGGGAAAUCCAAAGUCAGGCUGGAAACAAUGGAACAGGGAAUUGGAUGGUUUUUUAGACUCUUCUGUGUUUUCAUUUUUAAGCUCUCUACUCUGAAAAAAAAUGAAGACAAUUCCAUGUACAGCACCCCUACACUGAAAGUCAAUUUCCUGAAAGUGAUCGCUUAUUUUUAGCUGUACAUACCAACUGUUUCUGUUUACUAUACAGCUUUUGUUUUGCUAUACACCAUAUUUAUUUUUUUUUCAUUCUUCUUCUCCACAACAUGUGCUAAUUCACUCUGUUUCAUUCUAUCAUUUAAACCUGCACUCCUUGCUUGGUGUCCAAAGUCCUCAUUUCUCCAAUAUCAGCACUGGUAGCUCUCAGGUUGGUCACACACUACCUUCAGAGAUGCACUGGAAAAAAUUAGGCAUGCAGAAGUAACACCACUUUCUUGCACGGUAGCAGUAGUUAAGGGUAAUUUUUCCCAGACCUGUUUUGGUGUGGUGCUAUUCCCGAGGCAUUAAGCAUCUUUGUUCUUCCCUAAAACUUCUGGAAGCUGCAAGGGCUUACAGCUCUCCCUAAUGUCGGUGGGAUGCCUGGUGCUGCAGUGCUGUUGUGUGCCACUUGUUGCUCUAACCCACCUGGAAUCCAAAUCACAGCCCUACGGUUUCCCUCCUGAAGGAGCCUUAGCUCCUCUUCUAUCGAUCUUGUUUCCCUUGCUCCUGCAGCUGCACGUCAGAACUGUUUGUACAGUCCCAGUGAGUA